UGCCACAUAGCCGAGUUGGCCACAGCGUUUGGCCAUUAUGGUCCUGCAUAUAGCACCGCUGCUUUAACAUCGGAAAGUCGAGAGUUCGAGCCUUUCAGUGGCAU
Non-coding RNA from Rhodocollybia butyracea, 104 nucleotides. The record is from the annotation of a GenBank genome assembly. NCBI's taxonomy places the organism in Eukaryota, Fungi, Basidiomycota, Agaricomycetes, Agaricales, Omphalotaceae.